This 72-nucleotide transfer RNA is filed under the name bacterium. RNAcentral describes it as "tRNA-Arg". It matches the Rfam family "tRNA". From Rfam's summary of the family: Transfer RNA (tRNA) molecules are approximately 80 nucleotides in length. Their secondary structure includes four short double-helical elements and three loops (D, anti-codon, and T loops). The record is from RNAcentral.
GCUCCUGUAGUUCAAUGGAUAGAACGGGAAGCUUCUACCUUCCUAAUGCGGGUUCGAUUCCUGCCGGGAGCA